RNAcentral lists this ribosomal RNA (396 nucleotides) under uncultured bacterium. RNAcentral's name for it is "bacterial SSU rRNA". It matches the Rfam family "Bacterial small subunit ribosomal RNA", at positions 28 to 423 of the family's 1533-position model. The record is from RNAcentral.
GACGAACGCUGGCGGCGUGCUUAACACAUGCAAGUCGAGCGGUAAGGCCCUUUCGGGGGUACACGAGCGGCGAACGGGUGAGUAACACGUGGGUGACCUGCCCUCAGCUCUGGGAUAAGCCUGGGAAACCGGGUCUAAUACCGGAUAUGACUCCAUGACGCAUGUUGUGGGGUGGAAAGCCUUGUGCGGCUGAGGAUGGGCCCGCGGCCUAUCAGCUUGUUGGUGGGGUGANGGCCUACCAAGGCGACGACGGGUAGCCGGCCUGAGAGGGCGACUGGCCACACUGGGACUGAGACACGGCCCAGACUCCUACGGGAGGGCAGCAGUGGGGAAUCUUUGCGCAAUGGGCGAAAGCCUGACGCAGCGACGCCGCGUGAGGGAUGACGGCCUCGGUGU